RNAcentral lists this long non-coding RNA (850 nucleotides) under Rattus norvegicus (Norway rat). RNAcentral describes it as "long non-coding RNA NONRATT025966". Lineage: Eukaryota; Metazoa; Chordata; Mammalia; Rodentia; Muridae. The record is from RNAcentral.
CUUCCUCACAUCGUUUAUCCUCUAAGCAGGCAGGGACCAUUCGCCAAAGAGGUUUUGGUCCAGGCUUAAGCUUGCUGUCUGUGGCUUCUCUAUCCCACACAAAGAAAAAAAGAAACAAAAUUACCAGCCUUGCCCACAAAGGAUCCAUAACUUUAGGUUUCUUCACAGUGGCUCUCCACCUAGGCCCAUAUCUUUCUUCCUCAUAUAUGGCUGCCUCUUCCUCUAAUUCCUCCUCCUCGGACUCUGACAACUCUUGCUCAGAGUCACUGCCAGCCAGUUCUAAGGCUUCUAAUUCUUUUAAUGGAUACAAAGUAUCCUCUCCGGAUGACUUGUACUUCGUCCUCCGGGGCACUCUUAUUUUUUCCUCCAGCGGCAUUUCUUCUGCCUUUUGUAUUUCUUUCACUUUUGUUUUAGUAACCUUUUUCUUUUUGCGAGCUCCUAAUUUCUCACUCUGCUCCAUUUCUGCCUCUGCUCCGUUUCUGACAUGCUCUCUUAAAUCCAAAAAGGGGCAUGCCUCUCGAAGCCUAAUUUCUCACUCUGCUCCGUUUCUGACAUGCUCUCUUCCAAAAAGUGGCAUGCCUCUCGAAGCUUACCUUUUAAUUUACCUUCUCGCAGUUCUGAAUCCUCUUCAGCACACUGAAGGGUCCCCUGGCACCGGCGAUGUUGGUUCCCGGGUCUCGGCACCACUUGUCGCGCGCCCAAUGUCCCGCCAGCAAGAACGACGCGUGGCAACAGGAUUCUUCUGCGAGCAAGCCUUUACUGUGUUACAGCUCUUCUUAGUGUUACAGCUCUUCUCAGUGUUACAGCUCUCUUGAACAGGGACCCCGAGCAGCAAAAUCGCUCGGCUUAU